RNAcentral lists this ribosomal RNA (542 nucleotides) under uncultured Glomeromycotina. RNAcentral describes it as "SSU rRNA". It matches the Rfam family "Eukaryotic small subunit ribosomal RNA", at positions 552 to 1096 of the family's 1831-position model. The record is from RNAcentral. Lineage: Eukaryota; Fungi; Glomeromycota.
AGGGCAAGUCUGGUGCCAGCAGCCGCGGUAAUUCCAGCUCCAAUAGCGUAUAUUAAAGUUGUUGCAGUUAAAAAGCUCGUAGUUGAAUUUCGGGAUCAAUCUAUCGGUCGUGCAAUAGUACGUACUGAUUUCAUUGAUUCCUCCCUUCUGAUGAACUAUGAUGUCAUUAAUUUGGUGUCAUAGGGAAUCAGGACUGUUACUUUGAAAAAAUUAGAGUGUUUAAAGCAGGCUCACGCUUGAAUACAUUAGCAUGGAAUAACGAAAUAGGACGUUUGAUUCUAUUUUGUUGGUUUCUAGGAUCGACGUAAUGAUUAAUAGGGAUAGUUGGGGGCAUUAGUAUUCAAUUGUCAGAGGUGAAAUUCUUGGAUUUAUUGAAGACUAACUACUGCGAAAGCAUUUGCCAAGGAUGUUUUCAUUAAUCAAGAACGAAAGUUAGGGGAUCGAAGACGAUCAGAUACCGUCGUAGUCUUAACCAUAAACUAUGCCGACUAGGGAUCGGAUGAUGUUAAUUUUUUAAUGACUCAUUCGGCGCCUUACGGGAA